GCCAUUCCAUGUCUUUGGGAGGCUGAUUCCCUCCUCGAGCAACCGGAAGAUAUUAGUGCCCAUAUUUACUCCUUCUACAAGGAGCUCUUCACGACGGGUCCCCGUGGAGGAGUUUCCCUCUCUGAGGAUUUCUGGCCACCUGAGGACAGGGUCUCAGAGGGUGAGAAUGAUGAUCUAACCCUCCCCUUCUGCCCUGAGGAGGUGGGGCGUGCUAUUGCCUCUAUGAAGGCAAGUUCUGCCCCGGUUUCGGACGGCCUCCCAGUAGCUUUCUUCCAGAAAUUCUGGGAGGUCCUGCAGCCGGUUAUCAUGCCUAUGUUCAAUGAAUUUUACAUUGGAACAUUCGCAUGUCUCGGAUCAACUAUGGUCUGA
This 369-nucleotide ribosomal RNA is filed under the name Triticum aestivum (bread wheat). Its description in RNAcentral is "partial small subunit ribosomal RNA". The record is from RNAcentral. Lineage: Eukaryota; Viridiplantae; Streptophyta; Magnoliopsida; Poales; Poaceae.